Cucurbita moschata (crookneck pumpkin) is the source of this 187-nucleotide long non-coding RNA. RefSeq lists it as uncharacterized. The record is from RefSeq and is a predicted model, not a curated record. The transcript is spliced from 3 exons. NCBI's taxonomy places the organism in Eukaryota, Viridiplantae, Streptophyta, Magnoliopsida, Cucurbitales, Cucurbitaceae.
CCCGAUGAGGUAAUUGGUCUAUUUUCAAUUGGAAAUUGCUCAAUAGAAGCUCCCUGGUCCAUUUUCUUGUCGAAGAUACGAUUAAAAGGUUCUGGGCUUGCUUGAAGAUGCCUGUGAAUCGCUGUUGGAAAGCAUGUUAGCAGAGAACAAACACAUUUCAGAUUAAUGAUUUCUGGAUAGGCAGGCC